GAUGAAGAACGUAGUGAAAUGCGAUAAGUAAUGUGAAUUGCAGAAUUCAGUGAAUCAUCGAAUCUUUGAACGCACCUUGCACCCUUUGGCUAUUCCGAAGGGUAUGCCUGUUUGAGUAUCAUGAACACCUUAACUCUCAUGGUUUGCCAUGAUGAGCUUGGACUUUGGGGGUCUUGCUGGCCUGUGGUCAGCUCCUCUCAAAUGGAUUAGCUUGCCAGUGUUUGGUGGCAUCACAGGUGUGAUAACUAUCUACGCUUGUGGUUUUCCACCAGGUAACCUUCAGCAAUGGGGGUUCGCUGGGGCUCAUAAAUGUCUCUCCUCAGUGAGGACAGCUCUUUGAACGUUUGAUCUCAAAUCAGGUAGGACUACCCGCUGAACUUAAGCAUAUCAAUAAGCGGAGGA
This 402-nucleotide unclassified non-coding RNA is filed under the name soil metagenome. Its description in RNAcentral is "partial contains 5.8S ribosomal RNA, internal transcribed spacer 2, and large subunit ribosomal RNA". The stretch from base 1 to 121 matches the Rfam family "5.8S ribosomal RNA", at positions 35 to 154 of the family's 154-position model. The record is from RNAcentral.